GGCUCAGGAUGAACGCUGGCGGCGUGCUUAACACAUGCAAGUCGAACGAUGAAGCCCAGCUUGCUGGGUGGAUUAGUGGCGAACGGGUGAGUAACACGUGAGUAACCUGCCCUUAACUCUGGGAUAAGCCUGGGAAACUGGGUCUAAUACCGGAUAGGAGCGUCCACCGCAUGGUGGGUGUUGGAAAGAUUUAUCGGUUUUGGAUGGACUCGCGGCCUAUCAGCUUGUUGGUGAGGUAAUGGCUCACCAAGGCGACGACGGGUAGCCGGCCUGAGAGGGUGACCGGCCACACUGGGACUGAGACACGGCCCAGACUCCUACGGGAGGCAGCAGGGGGAAUAUUGCACAAUGGGCGAAAGCCUGAUGCAGCGACGCCGCGUGAGGGAUGACGGCCUUCGGGUUGUAAACCUCUUUCAGUAGGGAAGAAGCGAAAGUGACGGUACCUGAGAAGAAGCACCGGCUAACUACGUGCCAGCAGCCGCGGUAAUACGUAGGGUGCGAGCGUUAUCCGGAAUUAUUGGGCGUAAAGAGCUCGUAGGCGGUUUGUCGCGUCUGUCGUGAAAGUCCGGGGCUUAACCCCGGAUCUGCGGUGGGUACGGGCAGACUAGAGUGCAGUAGGGGAGACUGGAAUUCCUGGUGUAGCGGUGGAAUGCGCAGAUAUCAGGAGGAACACCGAGGCGAAGGGCAGGUCUCUGGGCUGUAACUGACGCUGAGGAGCGAAAGCAUGGGGAGCGAACAGGAUUAGAACCCCUGGUAGUCCAUGCCGUAAACGUUGGGCACUAGGUGUGGGGCCAUUCCACGGUUUCCGCGCCGCAGCUAACGCAUUAAGUGCCCCGCCUGGGGAGUACGGCCGCAAGGCUAAAAACUCAAAGGAAUUGACGGGGGCCCGCACAAGCGGCGGAGCAUGCGGAUUAAUUCGAUGCAACGCGAAGAACCUUACCAAGGCUUGACAUGUUCCCGAUCGCCGGUAGAGAUACGAUUUCCCCUUUGGGGCGGGUUCACAGGGUGGUGCAUGGUUUGUCGUUCAGCUCGUGUCGUGAGAUGUUGGGUUAAGUCCCGCAACGAGCGCAACCCUCGUUUCCAUGUGUCCAGCACGUAAUGGUGGGGACUCAUGGGAGACUGCCGGGGUCAACUCGGAGGAGGUGAGGACGACGUCAAAUCAUCAAUGCCCCUUAUGUCUUGGGCUUCACGCAUGCUACAAUGCCGGUACAAAUGGGUUGCGAUACUGUGAGGUGGAGCUAAUCCCAAAAAGCCGGUCUCAGUCGGAUUGGGGUCUGCAACUCGACCCCAUGAAGUCGGAGUCGCUAGUAAUCGCAGAUCAGGCCAACGGCCUUUGCGGUGAAUACGUUCCCGGGCCUUGUACACACCGCCCGUCA
This 1376-nucleotide ribosomal RNA is filed under the name Micrococcus luteus. Its description in RNAcentral is "16S ribosomal RNA". It matches the Rfam family "Bacterial small subunit ribosomal RNA", at positions 21 to 1399 of the family's 1533-position model. Lineage: Bacteria; Bacillati; Actinomycetota; Actinomycetes; Micrococcales; Micrococcaceae. The record is from RNAcentral.